CAUUUUAUUUGUAACGCACUCUUCAUUCAGAAAAAUCUCAGUGUGCCAACAUAGUAGAAACUAACUAUAAUAAUAAAAUAAAAUAAAAUAAGACUAGUUAACAUAAGCAUAAUAGAAAACUUAGUGACAGUGAUUUAUCACAAGGCCAGAAAUGCCUUCCUGAAUAAAAAUGUUUUUCAUAAAAGUAGUUUUACAGUGACAUGAAAUAUUGAGGACCUUCCAUGGGUAAGCAAUGACAACACAUCACACUAAAAUGCAUGAUGCCUACCUGGCUGUGAUGGUGAUAAAUAUGUUGUUGUUGUGACAAGGCUUAAUUCUGUCGAAAAUAAAUAGAUAGCAUAAUAGCAUUGAGACAUGGAAUAAUCUGGAUUUUUAUUUUUCACUUUUAGUAAGUGUGAUACAGCAUCUUACCUGUAAAGGUGUAUGGGUCACUGCGUGGAGAGAGAGAUGGAUGUUCUGUCUUCACUGUAUAAUCACAGCUCACCCCUCUGCUCUUCACUGACUGCAGACGUCUGAAUAAAUCAUCCUUAUUCACUGUAAACUGGCAGGAAAGGUCUCCAGAUACACUCUUUGAUGUCUUCGAUUGGAGAUAAAACUGAGGUUCAUCUCCAGUGUAAAGUUGGCAGCUGAGGGCAUCACCAAAAUGCUUGGGUAUGUCACAGACAAUGGAGGUGGAGCCAUCGUGAAGGACCGUUAUGUGUGGCUUCUGCAAUCUGUCUGUGUUGGG
Molecule: long non-coding RNA, 727 nt
Organism: Clupea harengus (Atlantic herring)
Lineage: Eukaryota; Metazoa; Chordata; Actinopteri; Clupeiformes; Clupeidae
Source: Ensembl